AGAAUCUGUUGCUCCUCUGAAACAGCUGAGUUUUUGAUAAAAUCCUGGGUUGAGUUUUACUUCUUUAAGGUAAAACUUCUUGUUCUUUUCAGAUGUUUUUCCUGCAGGAAAUGACUCCACAGGAGACUUCUUCUCCAAUUCUUCCUUUCUGGCUGCAGGAGAGAAUGACUUUGUGGUGAACACAACAUCAUCUAACCGCAGUGAUGCGGGUGAUGUCAUCACGCCAACACCAGGAGCACCGUUCCUGCCGCCGCAUGCUGGUCUGAAUGAAACGGGUGUGGAGGAGGAGCUGGAGCAGGAGGAGCUGGAGGAAGAGCGGAUCGGUCCAAGUGUUUCUGCUGUCGGUUCCGAUCCAGCCGUUCCCAUUGGGUCACCUCUGACCCCGGCUGAACCUCAGAUCAGCCCCAAGAUGAAAGCAUCUGCUCGCAAGAUCCAGCCAGAGUCAUCUGAAGAAGAGGAGGAAGAGGAUGCUGCUGCUGAGGAGGAGAAGAAUCAACAGGAUACAUCUGAUGAAGUUUCUCCAACCUCCUCAUUAACAACUAUCAACCCAACCACACAAAGACAGCAAACCUUCAAGGAUCGGUCUGAGGCCACGCCCAUCAGAACUACCACGGGGGUUGCUGUGCUGGAGGCGGGGUCUGAGGAGCUGCAGGAUAACGCCACGGCUGCACUGGCAGGUACAAAGUAUAAGGAGGUGUUUGACAUUGAGAGGAAACAAUCAGAAGAACGAUAAAAAAAAAAACUUAAAAUAAUAAUUUUCCAU
This 763-nucleotide long non-coding RNA is filed under the name Oryzias javanicus (javanese ricefish). RNAcentral describes it as "lncRNA (ENSOJAG00000018393.1)". The record is from RNAcentral. Lineage: Eukaryota; Metazoa; Chordata; Actinopteri; Beloniformes; Adrianichthyidae.